GGCCGCGUAGCUCAACUGUAUAGAGUAGCUGACUACGGAUCAGCCGGUUGCAGGUUAGAAUCCUGCCGCGGUCAC
Molecule: transfer RNA, 75 nt
Filed under: Bacteroidia bacterium
Lineage: Bacteria; Pseudomonadati; Bacteroidota; Bacteroidia
Description: tRNA-Arg
Rfam family: tRNA
About the family: Transfer RNA (tRNA) molecules are approximately 80 nucleotides in length.
Source: RNAcentral